AAACCGGGGAACGUUAAAACCUUAACGAUGAAACUAAUCAAAUACACAUGAUUAAGAAAGUUAAAACUCCGGUGGUAAAAGAUGGACUCGCGUCCCAUUAGCUAGUUGGUGAAGGUAACGGCCCACCAAGGCAACGAUGGGUAGCCGGCCUGAGAGGGUGAACGGCCACAUUGGAACUGAGAAACGGUCCAAACUCCUACGGGAGGCAGCAGAU
RNAcentral lists this ribosomal RNA (214 nucleotides) under uncultured Peptoniphilus sp. RNAcentral describes it as "partial 16S ribosomal RNA". It matches the Rfam family "Bacterial small subunit ribosomal RNA", at positions 133 to 354 of the family's 1533-position model. The record is from RNAcentral. Lineage: Bacteria; Bacillati; Bacillota; Tissierellia; Tissierellales; Peptoniphilaceae.